GCGAGACAUGUCUGGGACCCAAGCAGACCCCCCAGCACAGCCUUUCCCUUGGCGUACAGUGUCUUUUGUGGAUUAUUUUGAAGACUGAAGAAAAGUUACUUGCAGUCACCCGGAAGGAAGUAGGGAAAGCCCUGAAAGAAGCCUUUGAUAUUGGGAAACCCCCUUUUGCAGAUGCUGCAGUCAUUCAGAUACUAACAGAGAAGAUGGAGGCUGCCUGGCAUGUCAGUGAGAGCCUGGGCGAGAAGGUGGAAGCUGUGUGCCUGGAGGAGUGCCUGAGGUUC
Molecule: non-coding RNA, 281 nt
Organism: Phalacrocorax carbo (great cormorant)
Lineage: Eukaryota; Metazoa; Chordata; Aves; Suliformes; Phalacrocoracidae
Source: RefSeq, a predicted model, not a curated record